ACACGUCGUCCUCAGACAAGCCGAGCCACAGCUCGGGCGCUUCCACAGCCCGGGGAAUUCUACCGCCCGCUAGAAUCCUACCGCGCCCACCGCGGCCUCAUUUACAUAAGGCCACGCCCCGGUCAGGACGCAACGGCCCCGCCUCACUCUCCGCCCCUCCCCGCGCCACCGGGCUCCACGCGCAGGCGGUCUCCCUGCCCCCAGCUCUGCUCCCGCCGGGAUCUCAGCGCUAGGGCUUCUCCUCUUCUUCCCGCCCCCCGCCUCCUUCCUCUCCUUGCGGGUCUCCUCCGUCUUCUCCCCUCCACACUGAUUUGCUUCCCGUUCGUCUUCCCUCUCCAUGCAGCUCCCGCAACGCCCCCUGCGCCCGUCGUGGCGCCCACGCGGCGGUCAGCACCCGGCCGACUGCGCCCGCCUGAGAGGAACACGAGGGAGGACGUCCCCCAGCCGGAGAAGCGCCCACACACCUCUCUCGCUCUCGCUCUCUGUCGCUCUCUCUCUCUCUCUCUCUCUGCCCAGAGCCCGGUUUGAAGGAGACACAGUGCGAUGGCUCCACCUGAGGGGCUCAGCCGCCAAGCCAGUCCCCCCGCACCAGGGCUGGACACCAGCGCGGGGCUACCGAACGUCUGGCAGCUCUGGGCGCGCGAACCCAUACCUGUCGUUUGAGAACUGCCGCGUGCCUGCUGCUUUACAGGCUCAGCACGUUCUUAUGCAAAGUGGAAGCCACUGGUGGUCACACAGAUUGGUUGUUCACUUUUCAAGAGUGGGCUGUGCUCCUUUCCCAAGGAGGGCAAGGACAUAACUUACAAAAGGAAAAAUACGGGAGAACCCCCUCCUCUCACAGCUGCGUUUCUGUUGCGCGAGUUCUCUUAAGGCACAGAGCUACUUUUCAGCAUGUCACAGAGAGCGAACAUGCAAGCGUGGCGUUUACGGCUCUCCCCCAAAAGUGAUCGGUGACUGGAUCCCGAGCAGACCUGAGCUUUAUAGGGUGUCAUAGGCUGUUGCUUUCGUAAAUGUCACGGACAUAAAACGAACUUUGUGGAA
Neofelis nebulosa (Clouded leopard) is the source of this 1041-nucleotide long non-coding RNA. RefSeq lists it as uncharacterized. Lineage: Eukaryota; Metazoa; Chordata; Mammalia; Carnivora; Felidae. The transcript has 2 exons. The record is from RefSeq and is a predicted model, not a curated record.